UUCGAUAAAAAUAGGAUUUCGUGUUAUGAAAAGAGAAGGCACUAAAAGUAACUCAUUCUGUAUACAGUUCUUUUUAGCUUUCAAAUUUCAUCAACUUCUUUUAAUCUACACCAGCCAAUAUAUAUAUAUAUUUGUGGCGUAUGUAUAUCGUCGACAUAAAAAAGAUGGGAACAAUUAAGCUAAACGAGGGACCAUGUGUUGAAGAACCAUCGAUGCAAGGGACGUAUAGUUCUG
Molecule: unclassified non-coding RNA, 234 nt
Filed under: Arabidopsis thaliana (thale cress)
Lineage: Eukaryota; Viridiplantae; Streptophyta; Magnoliopsida; Brassicales; Brassicaceae
Source: RNAcentral